CGUCCAGACUCCUACGGGAGGCAGCAGUGGGGGAUAUUGCACAAUGGGGGGAACCCUGAUGCAGCGACGCCGCGUGGGUGAAGGAGUAUUUCGGUAUGUAAAGCCCUAUCGGCAGGGAAGAAGCAAGACGGUACCUGACUAAGAAGCCCCGGCUAACUACGUGCCAGCAGCCGCGGUAAUACGUAGGGGGCAAGCGUUAUCCGGAUUUACUGGGUGUAAAGGGGGCGCAGACGGCGAUGCAAGCCAGGAGUGAAAGCCCGGGGCCCAACCCCGGGACUGCUCUUGGAACUGCGUGGCUAGAGUGCAGGAGGGGCAGGCGGAAUUCCUGGUGUAGCGGUGAAAUGCGUAGAUAUCAGGAGGAACACCGGUGGCGAAGGCGGCCUGCUGGACUGCAACUGACGUUGAGGCCCGAAAGCGUGGGGAGCAAACAGGAUUAGAUACCCCCGUAUU
RNAcentral lists this ribosomal RNA (450 nucleotides) under uncultured bacterium. RNAcentral describes it as "partial 16S ribosomal RNA". It matches the Rfam family "Bacterial small subunit ribosomal RNA", at positions 328 to 794 of the family's 1533-position model. The record is from RNAcentral.